CCUACGGGGGGCUGCAGUGGGGAAUAUUGGACAAUGGGGGCAACCCUGAUCCAGCCAUGCCGCGUGUGUGAAGAAGGCCCUCGGGUUGUAAAGCACUUUCAGUGAGGAAGAACGCCUGGUGGUUAAUACCCAUCAGGAAAGACAUCACUCACAGAAGAAGCACCGGCUAACUCCGUGCCAGUAGCCGCGGUAAUACGGAGGGUGCGAGCGUUAAUCGGAAUUACUGGGCGUAAAGCGCGCGUAGGUGGCUUGAUAAGCCGGUUGUGAAAGCCCCGGGCUCAACCUGGGAACGGCAUCCGGAACUGUCAAGCUAGAGUGCAGGAGAGGAAGGUAGAAUUCCCGGUGUAGCGGUGAAAUGCGUAGAGAUCGGGAGGAAUACCAGUGGCGAAGGCGGCCUUCUGGACUGACACUGACACUGAGGUGCGAAAGCGUGGGUAGCAAACAGGAUUAGAUACCCUAGUAGUC
RNAcentral lists this ribosomal RNA (465 nucleotides) under Vreelandella stevensii. RNAcentral describes it as "partial 16S ribosomal RNA". It matches the Rfam family "Bacterial small subunit ribosomal RNA", at positions 338 to 795 of the family's 1533-position model. Lineage: Bacteria; Pseudomonadati; Pseudomonadota; Gammaproteobacteria; Oceanospirillales; Halomonadaceae. The record is from RNAcentral.